RNAcentral lists this long non-coding RNA (280 nucleotides) under Eutrema salsugineum. RNAcentral describes it as "long non-coding RNA (ESAL_LNC001244)". The record is from RNAcentral. Lineage: Eukaryota; Viridiplantae; Streptophyta; Magnoliopsida; Brassicales; Brassicaceae.
AUACUAAUGAGCAAUUUGGAGUUGAUUUGAGUUGGGGUCGUGCAAAAAGUCGAUUAGAUCAAUUGAAGAAAUUUUACAUCAUGCAUAAGAUAAUCCAGAAGAUCCACGUAUUGAAACAAAUUUUUUCCAGUCUAUUAUAUUAUUAUACACAAUUUUGGGUGAUGUUCCUAAUAACUGAAAUAAAAUAUAUUAUAAUAAAAUUUAUUAGUUUUUAAAAUAAUUAUUUAGUAUUUAUUUAUAAUUUUUAUUAAUUAUUUUGAAAUAGUGAUUUUGAUAUUUA